Molecule: unclassified non-coding RNA, 253 nt
Filed under: uncultured Caryophanales bacterium
Lineage: Bacteria; Bacillati; Bacillota; Bacilli; Caryophanales
Description: uncultured Bacillales bacterium contains 16S-23S intergenic spacer region
Rfam family: Bacterial small subunit ribosomal RNA
Source: RNAcentral
UACGUAGGUGGCAAGCGUUGUCCGGAAUUAUUGGGCGUAGAGCGCGCGCAGGCGGUCUUUUAAGUCUGAUGUGAAAUCUCGCGGCUCAACCGCGAGCGGCCAUUGGAAACUGGAGGACUUGAGUACAGAAGAGGAGAGUGGAAUUCCACGUGUAGCGGUGAAAUGCGUAGAGAUGUGGAGGAACACCGGUGGCGAAGGCGACUCUCUGGUCUGUAACUGACACUGAGGCGCGAAAGCGUGGGGAGCGAACAGG